This 293-nucleotide long non-coding RNA is filed under the name Ananas comosus (pineapple). RNAcentral describes it as "long non-coding RNA (ACOM_LNC040694)". The record is from RNAcentral. Lineage: Eukaryota; Viridiplantae; Streptophyta; Magnoliopsida; Poales; Bromeliaceae.
UACUAUUGGAAGGUUGGCUACCUUGGAUGUUGGUUUAGAACCGUUCGUGCUAAGCAAGAUUGGACGGAUGGGUGGAAGUUGCAAUUAGCAACGAGAUGGAAGGGGUACACCAUACUUAACCUUGGAUUGAAUUGCACUCAGUUGUGCCAUCUCGAGAAGAGAGUUGACCUUAGAUUUGAAGGAUCAUCGUUGGAAUAUGAGCCGAUGAGUGGAUGUUGCAGCACCUCCCCUUGGUGAGUGUUGAUCAGAUGAGCACUCCGAUGGAGUUCCGAUAGAUGAGUAAUGGAUUUAAC